RNAcentral lists this ribosomal RNA (824 nucleotides) under uncultured bacterium. RNAcentral's name for it is "bacterial SSU rRNA". It matches the Rfam family "Bacterial small subunit ribosomal RNA", at positions 34 to 893 of the family's 1533-position model. The record is from RNAcentral.
CGCUGGCGGCACGCCUAACACAUGCAAGUCGAGCGCUCUAACCACUUCGGUGGGGACGGGAGCGGCGGACGGGUUAGUAACGCGUGGGAACAUACCCUUUUCUACGGAAUAGCCUCGGGAAACUGAGAGUAAUACYGUAUACGCCCUUUCGGGGGAAAGAUUUAUCGGUUAAGGAUUGGCCCGCGUUAGAUUAGUUAGUUGGUGGGGUAACGGCCUACCAAGACGACGAUCUAUAGCUGGUUUGAGAGGAUGAUCAGCAACACUGGGACUGAGACACGGCCCAGACUCCUACGGGAGGCAGCAGUGGGGAAUCUUAGACAAUGGGCGCAAGCCUGAUCUAGCGAUGCCGCGUGAGUGAAGAAGGCCUUAGGGUCGUAAAGCUCUUUCGCCUGUGAUGAUAAUGACAGUAGCAGGUAAAGAAACCCCGGCUAACUCCGUGCCAGCAGCCGCGGUAAUACGGAGGGGGUUAGCGUUGUUCGGAAUUACUGGGCGUAAAGCGUACGUAGGCGGAUUAGUAAGUGAGGGGUGAAAUCCCAGGGCUCAACCCUGGAACUGCCUCUCAUACUGCUAGUCUUGAGAUCGAGAGAGGUGAGUGGAAUUCCGAGUGUAGAGGUGAAAUUCGUAGAUAUUCGGAGGAACAUCAGUGGCGAAGGCGGCUCACUGGCUCGAUACUGACGCUGAGGUACGAAAGUGUGGGGAGCAAACAGGAUUAGAUACCCUGGUAGUCCACACCGUAAACGAUGAAUGCCAGACGUCGGGUAGCUUGCUAUUCGGUGUCACACCUAACGGAUUAAGCAUUCCGCCUGGGGAGUACGGUCGCAAGA